This 615-nucleotide ribosomal RNA is filed under the name Triticum aestivum (bread wheat). RNAcentral's name for it is "partial small subunit ribosomal RNA". The record is from RNAcentral. Lineage: Eukaryota; Viridiplantae; Streptophyta; Magnoliopsida; Poales; Poaceae.
AUGACUUUCAAAGGGUACAAGAUAAAUGGGAAUACAUUUUACACGAUCACCCAAGAUAAGAAGAGCACCAACCAAAACAGUGGUGUCCGCUUUGAUGCAGCAACCAAGAUGGGAAAGGACACAUAUUAUGGUUACAUAGAGGACAUAUGGGAACUUGACUAUGGGCGUGGGUUGAAGGUCUCUUUGUUUCGAUGCAAAUGGGUCAAUAUGACACGAGGCAGGGUAACGGAAGACCCGCAGUACGGAAUGACAAUAGUGGAUCUCAACAAUCUUGCAUACGCAGACGAACCAUUCGCCCUAGCCAAUGAUGUAGUGCGGGUUUUCUAUGUGAAGGACAUAUCUACCAAGCCGAGAAAAAGAAAAGAUAAGGAAGCGAAUACAUCAUACGAUGAGCCAAAGUGUCACAUAGUUCUUUCAAGGAAAAGAAACAUCGUGGGAGUGGAUGACAAGACAGACAUAUCAGAAAAUUAUAAAAAGUUUGAUGAGAUUGCUCCAUUCAGAGUGAAUAUUGACCCGAGCAUCCAGUUAAAUGAUGAAAAUUGUCCAUGGUUACAGCGCAAAGGGACACACGCGAAGAAAAAGUUUCACACCCAAAGAUCCCACUCUGGGAUGUGA